UACGAAGGGUGCAAGCGUUACUCGGAAUUACUGGGCGUAAAGCGUGCGUAGGUGGUUUGUUAAGUCUGUUGUGAAAGCCCCGGGCUCAACCUGGGAAUGGCAAUGGAUACUGGCAGGCUAGAGUGCGGUAGAGGGUAGUGGAAUUCCCGGUGUAGCAGUGAAAUGCGUAGAGAUCGGGAGGAACACCAGUGGCGAAGGCGGCUACCUGGACCAGCACUGGCACUGAAGCACGAAAGCGUGGGGAGCAAACAGG
Molecule: ribosomal RNA, 253 nt
Filed under: uncultured bacterium
Lineage: Bacteria
Description: partial 16S ribosomal RNA
Rfam family: Bacterial small subunit ribosomal RNA
Source: RNAcentral